Molecule: ribosomal RNA, 748 nt
Filed under: fungal sp.
Lineage: Eukaryota; Fungi
Description: eukaryotic LSU rRNA
Rfam family: Eukaryotic large subunit ribosomal RNA (bases 487-748)
Source: RNAcentral
UUACACAAAUAUGAAGGCGGGCUGGAACCUCUCGGGGUUACAGCCUUGCUGAAUUAUUCACCCUUGUCUUUUGCGUACUUCUUGUUUCCUUGGUGGGUUCGCCCACCACUAGGACAAACAUAAACCUUUUGUAAUUGCAAUCAGCGUCAGUAACAAAUUAAUAAUUACAACUUUCAACAACGGAUCUCUUGGUUCUGGCAUCGAUGAAGAACGCAGCGAAAUGCGAUAAGUAGUGUGAAUUGCAGAAUUCAGUGAAUCAUCGAAUCUUUGAACGCACAUUGCGCCCUUUGGUAUUCCAAAGGGCAUGCCUGUUCGAGCGUCAUUUGUACCCUCAAGCUUUGCUUGGUGUUGGGCGUCUUGUCUCUAGCUUUGCUGGAGACUCGCCUUAAAGUAAUUGGCAGCCGGCCUACUGGUUUCGGAGCGCAGCACAAGUCGCACUCUCUAUCAGCAAAGGUCUAGCAUCCACUAAGCCUUUUUUUCAACUUUUGACCUCGGAUCAGGUAGGGAUACCCGCUGAACUUAAGCAUAUCAAUAAGCGGAGGAAAAGAAACCAACAGGGAUUGCCCUAGUAACGGCGAGUGAAGCGGCAACAGCUCAAAUUUGAAAUCUGGCUCUUUUAGAGUCCGAGUUGUAAUUUGCAGAGGGCGCUUUGGCUUUGGCAGCGGUCCAAGUUCCUUGGAACAGGACGUCACAGAGGGUGAGAAUCCCGUACGUGGUCGCUGGCUAUUGCCGUGUAAGCCCCUUCGAC